This 450-nucleotide ribosomal RNA is filed under the name uncultured bacterium. Its description in RNAcentral is "partial 16S ribosomal RNA". It matches the Rfam family "Bacterial small subunit ribosomal RNA", at positions 354 to 796 of the family's 1533-position model. The record is from RNAcentral.
GUGGGGAAUUUUGGACAAUGGGCGCAAGCCUGAUCCAGCAAUGCCGCGUGCAGGAAGAAGGCCUUCGGGUUGUAAACUGCUUUUGUACGGAACGAAACGGUCCGGGUUAAUACCCUGGGCUAAUGACGGUACCGUAAGAAUAAGCACCGGCUAACUACGUGCCAGCAGCCGCGGUAAUACGUAGGGUGCAAGCGUUAAUCGGAAUUACUGGGCGUAAAGCGUGCGCAGGCGGUUUUGUAAGACAGGCGUGCAAUCCCCGGGCUCAACCUGGGAAUUGCGCUUGUGACUGCAAGGCUGGAGUGCGGCAGAGGGGGAUGGAAUUCCGCGUGUAGCAGUGAAAUGCGUAGAUAUGCGGAGGAACACCGAUGGCGAAGGCAAUCCCCUGGGCCUGCACUGACGCUCAUGCACGAAAGCGUGGGGAGCAAACAGGAUUAGAUACCCGAGUAGUCC